GCCGCACGGACCGUCUACACUCGGUAGGACUGCCUCUCGAAGGCAGGGGUUGCUGGUUCGAUCCCAGCCGGGCGCGCCA
RNAcentral lists this transfer RNA (79 nucleotides) under Burkholderia pseudomallei. RNAcentral's name for it is "tRNA-Arg". The record is from RNAcentral. Lineage: Bacteria; Pseudomonadati; Pseudomonadota; Betaproteobacteria; Burkholderiales; Burkholderiaceae.